Molecule: ribosomal RNA, 253 nt
Filed under: uncultured bacterium
Lineage: Bacteria
Description: partial 16S ribosomal RNA
Rfam family: Bacterial small subunit ribosomal RNA
Source: RNAcentral
UACGGGGGGGGCAAGCGUUGUUCGGAAUUACUGGGCGUAAAGGGCUCGUAGGCGGCCAACUAAGUCAGACGUGAAAUCCCUCGGCUUAACCGGGGAACUGCAUCUGAUACUGGAUGGCUUGAGUUCGGGAGAGGGAUGCGGAAUACCAGGUGUAGCGGUGAAAUGCGUAGAUAUCUGGAGGAACACCGGUGGCGAAGGCGGCAUCCUGGACCGACACUGACGCUGAGGAGCGAAAGCCAGGGGAGCAAACGGG